Molecule: ribosomal RNA, 207 nt
Filed under: uncultured bacterium
Lineage: Bacteria
Description: partial 16S ribosomal RNA
Rfam family: Bacterial small subunit ribosomal RNA
Source: RNAcentral
CUCGUAGGUGGUUUGUCGCGUUGUUCGUGAAAACUCACAGCUUAACUGUGGGCGUGCGGGCGAUACGGGCAGACUAGAGUACUGCAGGGGAGACUGGAAUUCCUGAUGUAGCGGUGGAAUGCGCAGAUAUCAGGAGGAACACCGGUGGCGAAGGCGGGUCUCUGGGCAGUAACUGACGCUGAGGAGCGAAAGCGUGGGUAGCGAACA